This 465-nucleotide ribosomal RNA is filed under the name uncultured bacterium. RNAcentral describes it as "partial 16S ribosomal RNA". It matches the Rfam family "Bacterial small subunit ribosomal RNA", at positions 28 to 507 of the family's 1533-position model. The record is from RNAcentral.
GACGAACGCUGGCGGCGUGCUUAACACAUGCGAGUCGAACGGAAAGGCCCUGCUUGCAGGGUACUCGAGUGGCGAACGGGUGAGUAACACGUGGGUGAUCUGCCCUGCACUUCGGGAUAAGCCUGGGAAACUGGGUCUAAUAGCGGAUAGGAGCCAUUUUUAGUGUGAUGGUUGGAAAGUUUUUUCGGUGUUGGAUGAGCUGGCGGGCUAUCAGCUUGUUGGUGGGGUAAUGGCGUACAAGGGCGGCGACGGGUAGCCGGCCUGAGGGGGUGGACGGCCACAUUGGGACCGAGGGACGGCCCAGACUCCGACGGGAGGCAGCAGGGGGGAAUAUUGCACAAUGGGCGCAAGCCGGAUGCAGCGACGCCGCGUGGGGGAUGACGGCCUUCGGGUUGUAAACACCUUUCGCUAGGGACGAAGCUUUUUGUGACGGUACCUAGAUAAGAAGCACCGGCUAACUACGUG